This 488-nucleotide ribosomal RNA is filed under the name uncultured bacterium. RNAcentral's name for it is "partial 16S ribosomal RNA". It matches the Rfam family "Bacterial small subunit ribosomal RNA", at positions 28 to 507 of the family's 1533-position model. The record is from RNAcentral.
GACGAACGCUGGCAGCGUGCUUAACACAUGCAAGUCGAACGGAAAGGCCCUGCUUUUGUGGGGUGCUCGAGUGGCGAACGGGUGAGUAACACGUGAGUAACCUGCCCUUGACUUUGGGAUAACUUCAGGAAACUGGGGCUAAUACCGGAUAGGAGCUCCUGCUGCAUGGUGGGGGUUGGAAAGUUUCGGCGGUUGGGGAUGGACUCGCGGCGUAUCGGCUUGUUGGUGGGGUAGUGGCUUACCAAGGCUUUGACGGGUAGCCGACCUGAGAGGGUGAUCGGCCACACGAGAGCGUGGACGGGGUCCUUGGGCCUGCGAGAGGCAGCAGUAGCCUACCGGCCGCAGUAGUCGGGAACCUUGCAGAGUGACGGCGAGCGUGAUGUGGAAGCCUUGGGAGCGGAAUACUCGGUUACGGGUUAAGAACAACUUUGUAAGGAGCUGUGGAGUGCGUGACGGUACUGGGUCAAGAAGCCACGGCUAACUACGUG